This 809-nucleotide ribosomal RNA is filed under the name uncultured Alphaproteobacteria bacterium. RNAcentral's name for it is "bacterial SSU rRNA". It matches the Rfam family "Bacterial small subunit ribosomal RNA", at positions 45 to 886 of the family's 1533-position model. The record is from RNAcentral. Lineage: Bacteria; Pseudomonadati; Pseudomonadota; Alphaproteobacteria.
UGCCUAACACAUGCAAGUCGAACGGAGGCCCGAAGCUUGCUUCGGAUACCUUAGUGGCGAACGGGUGAGUAACACGUGGGAAUCUACCUAAAAAUGGGGAAUAACUGUUGGAAACGACAGCUAAUACCGCAUAACCCCUUCGGGGCAAAGGCUUCGGCCGUUUUUAGAUGAGCCCGCGCUAGAUUAGGUUGUUGGUGGAGUAAUAGCCCACCAAGCCUGCAAUCUAUAGCUGGUCUGAGAGGAUGAUCAGCCACACUGGGACUGAGACACGGCCCAGACUCCUACGGGAGGCAGCAGUGGGGAAUAUUGGACAAUGGGGGAAACCCUGAUCCAGCAAUGCCGCGUGAGUGAAGAAGGCCCUAGGGUUGUAAAGCUCUUUCAGAAGUGAAGAUGAUGACUGUAACUUCAGAAGAAGAUCCGGCUAACUCCGUGCCAGCAGCCGCGGUAAUACGGAGGGAUCUAGCGUUGUUCGGAAUUACUGGGCGUAAAGGGCGCGUAGGCUGUAUGAUUAGUCAGAGGUGAAAUCCCUAAGCUCAACUUAGGAACUGCCUUUGAUACUGUCAUACUAGAGAAUGAGAGAGGUGAGUGGAAUUCCAAGUGUAGAGGUGAAAUUCGUAGAUAUUUGGAAGAACACCAGUGGCGAAAGCGGCUCACUGGCUCAUUUCUGACGCUGAGGCGCGAAAGCGUGGGUAGCAAACAGGAUUAGAUACCCUGGUAGUCCACGCUGUAAACGAUGAAUGCUAGCCGUUUGAGGUUUUACUUCAAGUGGUGCAGUUAACGCGUUAAGCAUUCCGCCUGGGGAGUACGAU